GACGAACGCUGGCGGCAUGCCUAAUACAUGCAAGUCGAGCGAACAGAUGAAGUGCUUGCACUUCUGACGCUAGCGGCGAACGGGUGAGUAACACGUAAGGAAUCUACCUAUAAGCGGGGGACAACAUUCGGAAACGGGUGCUAAUACCGCAUAAUAUCUUCUUCCGCAUGGAAGAAGAUUGAAAGACGGCUCUGCUGUCACUUAUAGAUGACCUUGCGGUGCAUUAGUUAGUUGGUGGGGUAAUGGCCUACCAAGACGAUGAUGCAUAGCCGACCUGAGAGGGUGAUCGGCCACAUUGGGACUGAGACACGGCCCAAACUCCUACGGGAGGCAGCAGUAGGGAAUCUUCCGCAAUGGGCGAAAGCCUGACGGAGCAAUGCCGCGUGAGUGAAGAAGGCCUUCGGGUCGUAAAACUCUGUUAUAAGAGAAGAACAAAUUGUAGAGUAACUGCUACAGUCUUGACGGUAUCUUAUCAGAAAGCCACGGCUAACUACGUGCCAGCCGCCGCGGUAA
Molecule: ribosomal RNA, 513 nt
Filed under: uncultured bacterium
Lineage: Bacteria
Description: partial 16S ribosomal RNA
Rfam family: Bacterial small subunit ribosomal RNA
Source: RNAcentral